GACGAACGCUGGCGGCGUGCUUAACACAUGCAAGUCGAACGGAAAGGCCCUGCUUUUGUGGGGUGCUCGAGUGGCGAACGGGUGAGUAACACGUGAGUAACCUGCCCUUGACUUUGGGAUAACUUCAGGAAACUGGGGCUAAUACCGGAUAGGAGCUCCUGCUGCAUGGUGGGGGUUGGAAAGUUUCGGCGGUUGGGGAUGGACUCGCGGCUUAUCCGCUUGUUGGUGGGGUAGUGGCUUACCAAGGCUUUGCCGUGUCGCCGGCCUGAGAGGGUGAUCGGCCACAUAGCGACUGCUGAACCGCCGAUACACCUACGGGCGUCAGAGCCGGAGACUGGUGCACUAUCUGCGGACGCCUACGUCAGCAUUGCCGCGUGCGGGAUAACCCCGAUCGGGGUGUCCCCGCUUUAAGCGUCUGACGAACCGCUAGUGAUGGUAACAGGUAAGUAAGCGGAUGCUAACUACGUG
RNAcentral lists this ribosomal RNA (468 nucleotides) under uncultured bacterium. RNAcentral describes it as "partial 16S ribosomal RNA". It matches the Rfam family "Bacterial small subunit ribosomal RNA", at positions 28 to 507 of the family's 1533-position model. The record is from RNAcentral.